Molecule: ribosomal RNA, 462 nt
Filed under: uncultured bacterium
Lineage: Bacteria
Description: partial 16S ribosomal RNA
Rfam family: Bacterial small subunit ribosomal RNA
Source: RNAcentral
GACGAACGCUGGCGGCGUGCUUAACACAUGCAAGUCGAACGGAAAGGCCCUUCGGGGUACUCGAGUGGCGAACGGGUGAGUAACACGUGGGUGAUCUGCCCUGCACUUUGGGAUAAGCCUGGGAAACUGGGUCUAAUACCGAAUAGGACCACGCGCUUCAUGGUGUGUGGUGGAAAGCUUUUGCGGUGUGGGAUGGGCCCGCGGCCUAUCAGCUUGUUGGUGGGGUAAUGGCCUACCAAGGCGACGACGGGUAGCCGGCCUGAGAGGGUGACCGGCCACACUGGGACUGAGAUACGGCCCAGACUCCUACGGGAGGCAGCAGUGGGGAAUAUUGCACAAUGGGCGCAAGCCUGAUGCAGCGACGCCGCGUGAGGGAUGACGGCAUUCGGGUUGUAAACCUCUUUCAAUAGGGACGAAGCGCAAGUGACGGUACCUAUAGAAGAAGCACCGGCCAACUACGUG